RNAcentral lists this ribosomal RNA (448 nucleotides) under uncultured bacterium. RNAcentral describes it as "bacterial SSU rRNA". It matches the Rfam family "Bacterial small subunit ribosomal RNA", at positions 328 to 792 of the family's 1533-position model. The record is from RNAcentral.
UGUCCAGACUCCUACGGGAGGCAGCAGUGGGGAAUAUUGCACAAUGGGGGGAACCCUGGUGCAGCGACGCCGCGUGGGUGAAGGGGUAUUUCGGUAUGUAAAGCCCUAUCAGCAGGGAAGAACAAUGACGGUACCUGACUAAGAAGCACCGGCUAAAUACGUGCCAGCAGCCGCGGUAAUACGUAUGGUGCAAGCGUUAUCCGGAUUUACUGGGUGUAAAGGGAGCGCAGGCGGCGCGUUAAGCCUGGUGUGAAAGCCCGCGGCCCAACCGCGGGACUGCAUUGGGAACUGGCGCGCUGGAGUGCCGGAGGGGUAGGCGGAAUUCCUGGUGUAGCGGUGAAAUGCGUAGAUAUCAGGAGGAACACCGGUGGCGAGGGCGGCCUGCUGGACUGCAACUGACGUUGAGGCCCGAAAGCGUGGGGAGCAAACAGGAUUAGAUACCCGUGUA